GUCAAUUUAUUGAUAUCUGAAAAAAGCAACGGAGGGACUCCCAUUAAUAUUUUUCUGACUAAUUAGAUUAGGUCGAAUCUUGAAUAAUGGUUGCUCAAUAUUUUAAACACUACAUUUGUCUUCUUUCAUGCUAAGCCAAUACCCUGUAAAAAUCAUAGUAGGUUUGUUGUGAUAUCCAUAAGGCUUACUAUGGAGUUUGAUGUGGGGUUGUCUUGGUGCAUAUUAGAUGCUUUACAAUAU
RNAcentral lists this long non-coding RNA (240 nucleotides) under Elaeis guineensis (African oil palm). Its description in RNAcentral is "long non-coding RNA (EGUI_LNC067002)". The record is from RNAcentral. Lineage: Eukaryota; Viridiplantae; Streptophyta; Magnoliopsida; Arecales; Arecaceae.